UACGUAGGGUGCAAGCGUUGUCCGGAAUUAUUGGGCGUAAAGAGCUCGUAGGCGGUUCGUCGCGUCGGCUGUGAAAUCCCGAGGCUCAACCUCGGGUCUGCAGUCGAUACGGGCGGACUGGAGUUCGGCAGGGGAGACUGGAAUUCCUGGUGUAGCGGUGAAAUGCGCAGAUAUCAGGAGGAACACCGGUGGCGAAGGCGGCUUUCUGGACGACAACUGACGCUGAGACGCGAAAGCGUGGGGAGCAAACAGG
This 253-nucleotide ribosomal RNA is filed under the name uncultured bacterium. RNAcentral's name for it is "partial 16S ribosomal RNA". It matches the Rfam family "Bacterial small subunit ribosomal RNA", at positions 524 to 776 of the family's 1533-position model. The record is from RNAcentral.